UCAGUGAUUGAUUUGGGGGGGCGGGGAGGCGCCAAAAUUCAGUUCGCCUACACUUGAAAAUUACCUUGGGCCGGCCCUGAGUCUCGCUUAUCCAAUGUAAAUGGGCCAGCAGAAAGUUGGAUAAGCGAAUAUGUUGGAUAAUAAGGAGAGAAUAAGGAAAAGCCUAUUAAACAUCAAAUUAGGUUAUGAUUUUACAAAUUAAGCACCAAAACAUCAUGUUAUACAACAAAUUUGACAGAAAAACAGUUCAAUACUCAGUAAUGUUAUGUUGUAAUUACUGUAUUUAUGAAUUUAGCACCAAAAUAUCACGAUAUAUUGAAAGCAUUGACUACAAAAAUGGCUUGGAUAAUCCAGAAACUUGGAUAAGCGAGGCUUGGAUAAGUGAGACUCUACUGUAUUUAAAUCAGGUACAUAAGGAUAAGGCACACAUAGAAAGCAGACCAACACAUUAAACUAAGUAAUGAGUCAGAAAUGAGUCACAUCUUAAGAACAGUCAAGCAUUUCGAGCUCUGAGGAUUACCUGGGAAGGAAGUAAUUGCAUUGCAGCAUUGGAGCAUUGCAUUCCUGGAGCAUUGCAGCACACUGAAAUACCCGGGAGUCACUCUGGACUGUGCUCUGACUUACAAGAAGCACUGCUUGAAUAUCAAGCAAAAAGGUGGGUGCUAGAAAUAAUAUCAUAUGAAAGCUGACUGGCACAACCUGAGGAUCACAACUAGAUCUGCCUUUGUGCUUGGCUACUUUGCUGCUGAAUAUGCCUGCCCAGUGUGGAAUACAUCUCACCACGUUAAAACAGUUGAUGUGGCUUUUAAUGACAUGCCGCAUCAUCACAGGAUGUCUAGUCCCUGCACCACUUAAGAAAUUAUACUGCUAAGCCAGUAUUGCACCACCUGACAUCUGCUGGGAAGUAGCAUCUGUAAUGAAAGAAAAUAAUAAUAAUAAUAAUAAUAAUAAUAAUAAUAAUAAUAAUAAUAAUAAUAGAUCUGCCAGCUGCAAAAGGCCACCCUGCUGGGAUCUGCGCGCAUCAUCCGAAAAUACAUCACACAGUCCUAGACACUUGGGAAGUGUUCGACUUGUGAUUUUGUGAUAUGAAAUCCAGCAUAUCUAUCUUGCUUGCUGUGUCAUAAUAAAAUAAUAAUAAUAAUUCAGGCCAAGAUUGAAAAAUCAGCUGAUGACCCAAAAUGCAGACUGUGCAAGGAAGCUGACGAAACCAUUGAUCAUAUCCUCAGCUGCUGUAAGAAAAUUGCACAGACAGACUACAAACAGAGGCACAACUAUGUGGCCCAAAUGAUUCAUUGGAAUAUUUGAGCAAUUUUGUUUUGUCUCAGUCUCUCUUUUUCAAAAAAAAAAAAAGACA
Molecule: long non-coding RNA, 1354 nt
Filed under: Anolis carolinensis (green anole)
Lineage: Eukaryota; Metazoa; Chordata; Lepidosauria; Squamata; Anolidae
Description: lncRNA (ENSACAG00000036491.1)
Source: RNAcentral